GUCCAACAUCUACAACCUAAGAUCACCAUAUCAAAGUUAAAAGAUAGAGCUAAACCAGUUUGUGUCCAACCCUAUAGAUACCCUUACUUCCAAAAAGCUUAAAUAGAAAAAUUGGUCAAUGAAUUGCUCACAAAUGACCUUAUCCGUCCAACCAAAGCCCUUUUUCUUCCCUUGUCCUCCUAGUUAGGAAAUCUGGUGGAAGUUGGAGGCAUUGUAUUGAAUAUAGGUUAGUCAAUGCCGAGACAAUUAAAGCUAAAUUUCCUAUUCCCAUAGUUGAUUAACUCUUAGUUGAGUUAUAUGGUGCCACAAUCUUUUCUAAGUUAGACCCAAA
Molecule: long non-coding RNA, 331 nt
Filed under: Olea europaea subsp. europaea
Lineage: Eukaryota; Viridiplantae; Streptophyta; Magnoliopsida; Lamiales; Oleaceae
Source: RNAcentral